GCUCUGAAGAUGGCUGCCUGGCUUUGUGUCCCUGAGUUCUUGUUUACCAGUGAGGCAUCCAACUCCAGGAUUCGUCUGUCUGUUGCUGUUGUUAUUUAGUCACUCAGUCGUGUCUGAUUCUUUGUGACCACAUGGUCUGCAGAAUGCCAGCCUUCCCUGUCCUUCACUAUCUCCCGGAGUUUUGCUAAAACUCAUGUCCAUUGAAUCGGUGAUGCUAGCCAACCAUCUCAAACUCUGUCGCCUCCAUCUCCUCCUGCCCUCAAUCUUUCCUAGCAUCAGGGUCUUUUCCAAUGAGUCAGUUCUUAGCAUCAGGUGGCCAAAGUAUUGGAGCUUCAGCUUCAGCACCUGUCCUUCCAAUGAAUAUUCGGGGAUGAUUUCACUUAGGAUUGAUAUUCUGCUUUUUUGGUGUUUGGAUUCGGUACUGAGGAUGUGAUGCUUUUCUUCAGAUCAGAGGCAACAGGCUGUAGUCCUAUAGGCCUAGGGUCCCCAGAAAGGUAGCCAGGAAAGGUCUCCCACAGCCCAUUCCCUUAAAAUAGUUUCAACAAUCCUUCCAUUCUGAGAUAAUCCCAGAAGCCAAAAUGCCAAACUAGGAAGGGAACUGGGUGGGGGCGUCUGCAGUGAGGCCGCCAUGCCCACCCCCACCAGCCCAAACAGAUUUGCCGGAGUGAGUUAUAAAUCUACUGGUACCAUUUCUUUUUCGUCACUUGCCUAAUCCUGUGCCCUUCGUUUCAUGUGCUGUAAUUAUUAACAUCUGCUUUCUGAGCCUGGCCCGCAUGGAGUUUGCAAAGGCAGUUUUCAGUCCAGAACAAUGGUGACAGCUGUUUCAUUUAGCCUAGGGCCAGCACUUCCUGUUCAGUCUACAUCUGCCCUCCUGUGUCCAAUUUCUGAUUCAGGGUUUUCUGUUUUGUUUUCUGGGUUGUUUUUUUUUUUUUUUCCUUCAUCUGACCUUACUAUAUGUUUAAGAAGAAUUUCUAACUUAACACUCCGGCUAGUAUUUCUAGCACAUAUGCUUAUUAGAUUGGCGACAGCCAAAGAGAGAGAUAGGAGAAAGCCAGGACUGUCUUCCGCAGCUAACAAGGUGGAGGGCAGACAGAGGUACAAAGGAGGUCUGACCAUGAAUCUAGGGGACCAGACUCAAGGAAACUUCUGGGCCUUGAAGUUGAAGUAUAGGCUCACCUCUCUGGAAGCUAGGCACAGGAAGAGCGGCCUUAGCUCACCUGUCCCCUGGCCCAGUAUCAUCUCCAUAGCUUAUUUGGUAAGAGGUCACCCAAACGUAUCUCUGAGGGAACCGUGUGUCUGGGUGGCCACCAACACACGGCGGCCCUUCUUCCUUGGGAAUCAAGGAAGCUUGUCAGAUGAAGAAACUAAACACCAGGGAGAGGGGGUGCUUUCCUGCAGUUGUCGCUUGGUCGAGCUUGAUGCUAUUGGACAGAGAAGCAAAGGAAGACCUUCUCCACCCUUCUCAGUGGCUCACAGGAAAAGAGAUCGGGACCUGCUCCCAGGUAGGAACAGUGAGGAGCCAGCGAACAGAAGGCACAGCUCAGGUGUGAAAGAGAUGCAGUUGAGAGGGGCCUUCUCCCCCAGAAUCCCCACCAGACGUCAGGGAUGCAGAGUCAGAAAGGCCCUGGACCUCACCCCCCGCCACCCCACCCUGAGAAGAACCAGCCCUCCCAACGCUUGGCUUGAGCCUGGAGCAGCACAGAGGCCACUCCUGCAGGCACAACGAUCAUCAAGGGCUAUCCCUAAAGUCUGGAAUCAAAGGAGCUGAUGGAUGGCCCACAGGAGGCUGGGCCCUAUGGCCCCAUUCACCCAGCUCUUCCAGGAAUGCCAGCCCCGCCCCUUUCCCUGCCCCCACUCACCAUCUCCCAGCCUCGCCCUCCCCCUUCCCUUCUCUCUCUCUCACUCACUUCUUUUCUUCUUAAAGUUAAUUGCAACUUUUUUCUCAGCGCCCUGAUCUGGAUAAGCCACAUCUCAUUAGAAAAAGAUUUAGCUGGAGCCAAAGCAGGCUGGAGAAGGAAUCCCUAAUCAACAGAAAAGAUUCGGGUGUAAUUGCUCUCUCCCACCAUCCUCCCCCUCCUUCCUCCAAUCUUUCUCUGCUCAUUAAUCUGAAAAGAAAGUCACAGUUGAACAUCUUGGUGUUCAAGUACCUGCUGCUGUGGCAAACAAAUCGAAGUACUUGGGGUUUUCUUUUGUGGGGGUGUCUGUAUGGAGAGCUUUGGCUGUUGUGUGUAGGAGUAAAGCAUUUUGCUCUUGUGGGUGUGUAAGAAGCACCUUGGUUGGGGGAGUAAAACUCUUUGGGGGGGGUGUGUGUGUGUGUGUGAAGUGCUUGGUUGUGAGGAAAGUGUGAGUGGGUGUGUGAACCCUUUGGUUGUUGGAGUGUGUAUGUGUGUGAAGCUCUUUGGUAUGAAGUGCUUUGAUUAUUGAGAGCGUGUGUGAAGCUCUUUGAUUAUGGAGAAUGUGUUUGUGGCGGGGGCAAGCUCUUUGGUUGGAUGGGGCAGUAAAAACUCUCAGUGCGUGUGUAAAACACACUGGUUGUUGGGUACAUGUGUUGUGGAUGUGGGAUAUGGUUGUGGGGUGUGGGAGUUGUUGGUCCAUGGGAUGCAGUGGAGGCCUUCAGUUGUUGGUGUGUGCUGGUGUGUGCGUGUGGUGCUUUGAUUGUUGGAUGCUUGUAAGUUCAUUCAUAUGCCCUAGUAGCCCCUUUGAUGGUUUCCUUUCGCCCCAACUAAAUCCCAACGGACGCUUAAAUGGCGACACAUAGAAGAUGAAUUUAGAAGCAAACCAUCUCCCCACGUAGGGAGAGGAGAUUCAUGAAGUGAGAACAUAGAUUUUUGAUUUGAAAUGUUUCUUCUUUUCUAAAGUGGUCAAAUCAGACUCUAAAUUGCUGAAAAAAACUGAAGAUGAGAGGCAGAAUGACAAAAAGACCCUGUAGAAGGUCCUGGAGCUGAAUUGACCCCAGCCCCCCAGGGAGACAGGUGGAGGAAGAGGGGCCAUGAGUCAAGGAACAUGAGCAACUUCUAGAAGCCAGAAAAGAUAAAGGAAAUGGAUUCUCCCCCAGACCCUCCAGAAUGAAGAGCAGCCUGGCUGACACCUUGAUUUUGGCCCAGUGAGACCUGUAUAAGACAUCCAACCUGCAGAACUCUAAGAUACAUUCACAUUGUUUAAGUUUUGGGUACUUUGUUGUUAAUUAGCCACAGAAAACUAAUACUGUAAGAUAUUCCAGUAACAGAGGUGAUUAAAGUCAAGUCGAGUGGAUGUGAG
Bos taurus (domestic cattle) is the source of this 3258-nucleotide long non-coding RNA. Lineage: Eukaryota; Metazoa; Chordata; Mammalia; Artiodactyla; Bovidae. The record is from Ensembl.